AACGAACGCUGGCGGCAUGCCUAACACAUGCAAGUCGAACGAGACCUUCGGGUCUAGUGGCGCACGGGUGCGUAACGCGUGGGAACCUGCCCUUAGGUUCGGAAUAACUCCCCGAAAGGGGUGCUAAUACCGGAUAAUGUCUUCGGACCAAAGAUUUAUCGCCUUUGGAUGGGCCCGCGUUGGAUUAGCUAGUUGGUAGGGUAAAAGCCUACCAAGGCGACGAUCCAUAGCUGGUCUGAGAGGAUGAUCAGCCACACUGGGACUGAGACACGGCCCAGACUUCCACCGGAGGCAGGAGUGGGGAAUAUUGGAACAUGGGCCAAAGCCUGAUCCAGCCAUGCCGCGUGAGUGAUGAAGGCCUUAGGGUUGUAAAGCUCUUUUAACCGGGAUGAUAAUGACCGUACCGGGAGAAUAAGCCCCGGCCAACCCCCUG
Molecule: ribosomal RNA, 433 nt
Filed under: uncultured bacterium
Lineage: Bacteria
Description: partial 16S ribosomal RNA
Rfam family: Bacterial small subunit ribosomal RNA
Source: RNAcentral